Cyprinus carpio (common carp) is the source of this 856-nucleotide long non-coding RNA. RefSeq lists it as uncharacterized. NCBI's taxonomy places the organism in Eukaryota, Metazoa, Chordata, Actinopteri, Cypriniformes, Cyprinidae. The record is from RefSeq and is a predicted model, not a curated record. The transcript is spliced from 3 exons.
CUCUUCCUCUGCUCUUCUUUACGCAAAUCUCUCUAAACUCACUCAAAACUUUAUGUUUGUCCCCUCACUUUCGAACCGAGAAUGAUAUUAGGGAGAAGAUCAACGGCAGUCAUUUAUCGUUAAGAAGAGACACACAACUGAUUUUAAAAAGCAAAAAGAAAGCGCAGAGCAGCAGUUCUAGCUCUCGUCACUCGCGUGUAAAGCGAAAGAAGCCCGCUGCUGAAACAGAAGCUGUUUCGGUGGAUCCAGAAGCCCAGCGCGGGUUCCGCUGCUCCAGAUCCGCUCGUGUCGGACUCUCCGCCGGGACUGGAGCGGGACAGAAGUGGUGCGCACAGAGCUCGAUUCUCAAGAGUGAAGGCUGAGGAAAGUCAAAUGACAGACUUCUCCUUUGGACCAAUAGAAGCCCCUAAAUCCCAAGGCAGUCAUUUUGAUCAAGCCGAGUGCCUACAAGCCCCACUCACAUGUUUGGUCAAGAGGUGAACGCUCAGCAGAUGACAGUCCUCCUACCUCGGAUUGCAGGCGGAGAAGCGGGGCUUUCCCAAUCCUCUGUGGCGAAAUACUUCCCGUGCUCUGCCUACUCAGCCCACCGAGGGAUUGUUGAUGCUUCCUGAUUUCAUGUGCUGCACGGUGUGAACACAUCUCUGUUUCUCAGUGACAUGGAGAAGGAGGAACAGAUGAGUUAAAUGGAAUCAUUUUAUGUUACAUCACAUCAGAAAUACUGGGCUAACAGCAAAGAUAACAGACCAUAUCAGCACUAUGAAAUAGUGUUCUAGCAUACAAUACAAUUCCUGCUAUUAGGGCAUUACAACAAGUAAAAAUAAAAAAUACUGAGAUUUCAUAACAUUAUAAAGUCUUC